GAUUCCUUGGUUCUCUCUUUGGAUAAAAUCAUUGACUAUAUAUUGAAGGGGUUUAAAGGUCAAUCCAUUCAAGAUUCCUCAGGGGUAGAUAGUUGUUUCUUCAUAGGGUUUUCCCUUGUUCUUGAUGUUGAAUUUGCUUCUCCUGUGCCAGAUUCUUCCAGUAGAUCCCCUGGCACCACGAGUGAUUAAUUCCUCUGUUUUCUAGCUUUCUGAGACCAAGAUCUUCACUGCCUCUAAUGUGUCUUCAGUGCCUCUGCCUGCGGAGAAUGUGACAAUCACUGCUGGUCAGAGGCAAGUGUGUGGUAAAAGUACCUUUUCCUAAAGAGAUCUGCUGAGGUAGCUGCAAGAAAGUGGCACCGCCCUUCACAAGCUCUCUGGUGUUGAGAAUAAUAAUAAUCACACUAGUUCCCUCUUCAGUUGAAUGGAAGUCCAUAUGUUUCCAUUUUAAAGCUGAUUUUCACUUGAAAUAACCCAUAAUUACAUAGAUCAACCUGUGUUGUCACCAGUAUCGACUGAUUGAAAUCUGGUUGGUUCUGGUAGCCUUUUAAUUAUUUGUAUGUAACUUGUCUUGAAGUAAGCCAGGGAAAGAAAAGCCAAGCUGAAAGUGAAAUGCUAUGUCCCCUACUAUUUAAUAGCUUUUUCUCUUGAUUUAUAAUAAUGAUCUUUGUCUGCUGAUCCCACUGAGAAGUUGGUUCCAUAUCCAUGGGUUCUGUGUCCAUGAAUUAAAUCAGCUAUAUAUCUAUAAAACUACUUAAUUUAGAAGGUUCCAAAGAAGUAUGAUAGGAAUCAGUAAGAAUAGGACACUAAAUAUGUAUAUUACACAUGUGCGCGCAUGCCCACACACACACACACACACACAUUUUUUUUUUGUGUGUGUGUGUGUGUGACACCAAAUAUAUUCUUCCACACUAGUGAUGCAGUUCUCCAACCAGGUGUUUAGCAGUGCAGUUCUGACACUGUCCUGGAGUUGGCACAGAUGCUAAUUUCAGGUUCAGUAGUUCAUGAGAAUGACUCAGGAAAGUGUUAAUUAUCGUUAACCUGUUUAUUAUGAAGGUACAAUUCAGGAAUAGCCAAAUAGAAGAAAUCCGUAGAACACAGUAUGUGUGGGUGCGGGCAUAUGAUUUUCCAUGUCCUCUGCAGGUAUCUGGAAGCUUGACAGAUCUCAUUAUUCUAGAGCUAUAAAUUGUAGACAUAAUUGAUUAAAUCAUUGGCCAUUGAUUAUUGGACUUGAUAGCCAAUUUCACUGCCUUGGAAAUGGGUUGGGUUGGGUUGGGAAGGGCUGAAUAUUCCAAUCCUCAGAUUUGGUCUUUCUAGUGACUCAGAUCCACCAUGGGUUCACCACAUUAGUAUAAACUCAGGUAUGGUUGAAACAAGCUUGUUGUGAAUAAGAAAAGACACAGUGAUGUAGGAAAUUUUUUUUUCUUUUUUUUUGGUCAGGAGUGGGAAUCAAUCCAAGACUAGGCACAUGCUGGGCACAUACUAUACCACUGAACUACACCCCCAGCUUCCUGUUUUUAUUAUAUCACUGAUAACUUUUGAAAUUUUAUAAAACUAGGGAAAACACCUCCAAAAGUCUCCAUUUGAAGAUACCAACAUUCUGGUAUAUGAUUCUUAUAUCUUGGAUAUUAUUAAUGACAAGUAUUUAGUAUUACAGUCACGAACAUACUUGUAGAUUUUGGGCCAAGUAUUGAGCUGCUAAUUAAUAUUUGAUAUUUCAUUAAAUUAAUAACUUUCACUAAAAUGAAAGCCAUUAUUAAUGGCACCUGGUGGAAUUUAGCUAAAUAAUGGCUCUCGUGCAUCAUUUAUUUUGGUAAAUUAAGCAUUUCAGGGCUUUAUAUUUUGAGUUCAUUCAAGAGCACAUCAUUAAGUGGCUUUGCUUUAAUCUAACCAUGAUCUGAAUCAGGUGUCAGAAAAUGCUAGAAAAUGUUCAGUCAUUAUUCAUCAAGAUCUUUCUCUCCCACUAGAAUUGACCUUGCUGUUCUCUUGGGGAAGACACCAUCUUCAAUGGAGAAUGAUUCAUCUAAUCUGGAUCCAUCUCAGGCUCCUUCUCUGGCCCAGCCUCUGGUGUUCAGUAAUUCGAAGCAGAGUGCCAUAUCACAGCCUGCUUCAGGGAACACAUUUUCUCAUCAUAGUAUGGUAAGUUUGAUUUAUCUUGAUCAAACCUUCCCACCAAUUCUACCAUGCUUACCCAGACAUUCCUUCUCCCAAAGGCUAAAAUUUUAAGAAUUCAGCUUUAAGGUCUUACUUGGAUUUAUUGUAUUUAUUUGUAGUACUGGGGAGGAGGAUCCAGGGGCACUUUAUACUGAGCUUCCCCAGCCCUUUUUAUUUUUAAUUUGGAGGCAGGGUCUCACUAAGUUGCUGAGUUUGGCUUUGAACUUGUGAUCUUCCAGACAUUGCCUCCCAAGACACUGGGAUACAGAGAGGCACAAAUGUAUUCUGCAAGAGGUUGAUUUUAUAGACAGAGAAGGGCUGAAAAAACAGAAAUAGGAUAAAAAGUCAUUUCAAAAUUACUUUCUUUGUGAGAUAAGACAGGGAGACAGAAAAAUAGAAAAAUAACCAAUUGGUUAGCAUCAGGUUACAUUUUUUGUGUGUGGAUUAAGACCGAGAAACUUUUAUUACUCACCUAUUUGAAAUUCAGCUGUUGGAACCAGCCUGUUUGGGAAAUUUAGCUGUUUUCUCUCCUAAUUUUUCAGAAAGUCAAGAAACAAUGUAAUUUCAGUUGGAGUUGGAACUUUUAUAUGUGUGACUCUUGAUUUUUUAGUCUGAUUGGUUAGAGUCUAGUGUAGAUUAGUCUAAAGCGGUGGUCUUCUGUGUUUAAGUUUCAAAGACAGGAUUUGUAACAAGGUUAGGCAUCCUCUUUGUUCUUUUAAGCAUCUUUGAGUGUGCAGAUGUUGAGUUGGGUACUAGAGGAUAGCUCUAGAACAAGCCUUAGCUUAUAACAAACUGAGUCAUCUUAAAAAUGAGUUAACAUAAUUUAUUGAAUACACAAUCGUGCUGAACAGUUUCUUAUUACUCCUGAAUAGAGAAAAUCAAUGGCAUCAACUUAAUAAAUUUUGACUCUUUCAGGCUGAGGCCGUGGCUUAGUGGUAGAGUGCUUGCCUUGUAUGUGUGAGGCACUGAGUUCCAUCCUCAGCACCACAUUAAAAUAAUUUUUUGACACUUUCACAAUCCUGAUUAAACUUUGGUGAGAGAUUGUAGUAGUUCCCCAUAUCUCUCUCUUUUUUUUUUUUUGUACCAGGGAUUUAAGUCAGGGGCACUCAACCACUGAGUCACAUCCCCAACCAUUUUCGUGUUUUAGAGACAGGGUCUCACUGAAUUGCUAAGUGCCUCACUAAGUUGCUAAGGCUAGCUUUGAAUUCUCGAUACGCCUUCCUCAGCCUCCUGAGCUGCUGGGAUUCCAGGUGCACGCCAUUCCCCACUUUUUGAUGAAGUAAAAUUAAAAUCGCCUUAUGUGGGGUUUUUUUUUUUUUUUUGAGAAUUUUUUUUUUAUAUUUAUUUUUUUAGUUUUCGGCGGACACAACGUCUUUAUUUGUAUGUGGUGCUGAGGAUCGAACCCAGCGCCGCGCGAAUGCCAGGCGAGCGCGCUACCGCUUGAGCCACAUCCCCAGCCCCCCCUUAUGUGUUUUUAUUUUAUUUUUUUUUUUAUUUAUUUAUUUUUUUUAUUUUUAUUUUUUUUUUUUUUUUAAAGAGAGAGUGAGAGGGAGAGAGAGAAUUUUUAAUAUUUAUUUUUUAGUUCUCGGCGGACACAGCAUCUUUGUUGGUAUGUGGUGCUGAGGAUCGAACCCGGGCCGCACGCAUGCCAGGCGAGCGCGCUACCGCUUGAGCCACAUCCCCAGCCACCCUUAUGUGUUUUUAUAAACCAUACAUUUGUAUAUUAGGUUUCUAAAAUCUAGGGUUUUUCCAUAUCACAACUUGUUAGCUGUGUUUCCCCUUGUCUGAAAAUGGGAAUAAGAGUGCUUGUUCUUCCUGUCUUGGGGGGGCCUCAGGAAGAUAAUUAAACUAAUUGAUACCAAUUAUACAAAUGUGGCAAUGGUAGUGGCAUUUUAAAUAACCUAUCAUGCAUAGUACACACAACUUCUUGAUUUACAACAUUUAAAAAAAUAAAGGAAGCCAGAUACAGUUGUGCAUGCUUGUAAUCCCAGGGACUUGGGAGGCUGAGGCAAGAGGAUCACGAGUUCAAAGCUAGCCUCAGCAAAAAGUGAGGCGUUGAACAACUCAGUGAGACCUUGUGUCUAAAUAAAAUACAAAAUCAGGCUGGAGAUGGCUUAGUGGUUGCAUGCCCCUGAGUUCAAUCUCUGGGACAUAAAUAAAUACGUAAGUAAAGGAGGGCUGGGGAAAUAGCUCAGUUGGAGAGUGCUUGCCUCAUAUGCACAAGGCCCUGGGUUCGAUCCUUAGAGCCACAAAAUAUUAUUUUAUUUAUUAUAAUUUAAACAAAGAUAAUUACAAGAACCAAUUAUAGUCAAUAAAUCCUGUUACUCCUUUUUUUAAAAAAAUUUUUUUGUAGUUGGAGAUAGCAUGCUUUUAUUUUAUUGUCAUUUUUAUGUGGUGCUAAGAAUUGAACCCAUUGCCUCACACAUGCUAGGCAGGUGCUCUGCCACUGGGCUACAGCCUCAGCUCCCUAAUUUACUCCUUUUUUUUUCCCUUUCUUUGUUUUUUUGGUGGAGGGUUACUAAGAGUUAUGAGAGGUAAGCAGACCUUUUAUGUGAAGAUAAUUUUAUUUUUCCAGUUUUAUUAAUUAUUUUAAUUUAGAAAACUGUUGAGGUAGCUACUAAUCCAGAACUGUCUCAGUUUUUAACUAUUGUCCUUGAAGUUUUUUUGUUUUAAAAUUUUUUCUUUUGUGUUAAUUCAGAAGUGGAGGUGGUUGUUUUGCCACAAAGGUAACAGGUGAGGAAAAUAUUGGGGUUGGAAAGAAAAUAGAAUGCUGGUGGUAAGGUGUGAUGAAAAUCAGGAAGUGUUACAAAUCCCUAAAAUACAUGACUAGAUCCGUGGUCAAGUGAUGUAUGCCUCUUUUAACUGCCCUCUUAAUGUUUGGAAUUGUGAAUAUGCACGAAAAAAUCAAAAUUUUAAUAUUUUAAAUAUUUUAAAAUUCAUUGUGUCAUAUUCUAUGCAUAGGAUUUCUGUAAAAACUUAUAAAAUUUUAUAGGACACCUACAAAAUUGCCCAAUUUAAGUGGAGGUUUUGUUGUUGAUGCUAGUCCCCCCCCAAAAAAAAUAUUGGAAAUUGAACCUAGGGGUGCUCAGACAUUGAGUUCAUCCCAACCCUUUUUAUAUUUUUUAUUUUGAGACAGGGUCUCACUAAGUUGCUGAGGCUAGCUUUGAACUUGCGGUCCUCCUGCCUCAGUCUCCAGAGUCACUGGGAUUAUAGGUGUGUACUACCAUGCCUGGCUUCAAUAUAAUUUUUUUAAAAUUUUUUUAAUAUUUGCUUUUUGUAGUUGUAGUUGGACACAGUACUUUAUUUAUUUGUUUUUAUGUGGUGCUGAGGAUCGAACCCAGGGCCUUGCACUUGUGAGGCGAGCACUCUACCACUAAGCCACAACCCCAGCCCUCAAUAUUUAAAUUUUUAUAGGAAUAUCAAAAAGAUGUUUUUAGUAAACUUCCAUGUUUCCUUAACAUUCUAUUUAAUGUGUGCCGAUAGGUGAACUAAAUAUAAAUAGUAUUUUGUUAUUCUCAUUACCUUUAUUUAAUCAAUAUUAUUUAAUGUAACUUUUUUCAUUGAGCAUAAUAUUAGAGAAUUGAUUUCCUUUAAUAUUUAUUAGAUCUAGAUAAAGGAGUUUGUAUUAUGUAUAAAAUACAAUGGACAUUAUGUAAUUUUUCUGUCUUUAAUUUUUUGUGCUUGGCAGAAUAUUUUAGUUGCAUUAGAUCAUCUGUGUCACAGUCCCUCACUUUAAACUAGACUUCUCAGAUUAUUUUGUUUUGGUAAUGGGGAUUGAACCCAGGGACGCUUAAAACCAGUGAGCCACAUCCCCAGCCCUCCCCCAAGCCCCCCCUUUUUAAACAAGGUUUUGUUAAGUUGCUUGGGGCAUCAACCUCCUGCGAUACUGAGAUUAUAAGUGUGUGCCAUUGUGCUUGGCUCAAGUUUUUGUUUGAAUAAUCUUGGGAUAUAGCUCAAAGUGGGAAGGAAAAAACCUUACCUUGAGUUGAAUAGACAGGUGUUCUAUAAGAAAGCAUUGCUGAUGAUGACAUGCUACAUUUAAACAAGUACCUGAGUAGGACAAGAUUAAUUCUCCUUGAAGUUUUUUGUUUGUUUAUAUGUUUGUUUUUUGAGGCUAGUCAAGGUCAUGAGGUUGAUCUUUGGACUUGGCUGAUAGUUUUCCUUGGUAAUGGGGAACAGAGAAAUCCCCAAAAGUGUUAGAGUAAAAUUUUGCUUAGUUAUCAUGCAGUGAUUCUAUAAAAAUAAUCAAGCCAUUGAGUUGUCAAUUUUAUCUAGUGCAGAAGUUGGGAUGGCCCUUUAAUUUCUCUUUGCCUAUAAGCUAGUUAUGAGCAGCAUUCAGUUUUUUGUUUCUUUUGGAUUGUUUAGUGGUAGGGGCAAGGAUAUAAUGACAAAAGUAAAAUUUUAUGUCACUUUUGUAUUAAUUUAAUAAUCAAGUAUUAAUUUAUGUAAAAAUCUUGAAGGGGGGGAACUCUCCAGUUAUCAAGGCAUUAUCCCUAAGAUGGAGAAAGUGAUGGUGAUUAUAAGUUUUUAAGGGCUAUCAUCUUUUAAAAAUUUAGAUUUGUUGAAUUAAUAUAUAAAAAAAUAAAAUUAUGCAUAUUAGUGGGGGUUUUAAUAUGUAUUGCUCUAGUUUUCUUGAGCCCUGUGUUCCAUGUACAUGUUAAGUACAGAUAUAUUAUUUGUUAAAUCCUGAUUAAACUUUAUGAAGUGUACUACUACUAUUUAUAUUUUCAGAUGAGGAAACUGAGGCAAAGAGACUUUAAAAUAAAUUUUCUGUGGUUGCAUACCCAGAAUUCGAAUCGGAUUGUCUGACUCUGAAUCUUAAACUCAAUGGACUAUGCUAUAUACUCAGUCUUAUAGCAUUCUGUUUUGAAAUGGGGUGUCAGAGUGUUGCCCAGGUUUUUCUUGAAUUCCUGAAUCUGUGAUCCUCCCAAGUAGCUGGGACUGUAGACAUGUGCCAUGGGCCCGGCUUAGUAGCAUUCUUCAUUUGUUUGAUUCAUACUAGCUUUCAAACUGGAUAAGUGUCUUUCUUUAGCAGACAAGUUCCAGGCUGUAAAUCUCUCUGUUGAUCUCCAGGUGAGCAUGUUAGGAAAAGGAUUUGGUGAUGUCGGUGAAGCUAAAGGUGGCAGUACUACAGGCUCUCAGUUCUUG
RNAcentral lists this long non-coding RNA (7299 nucleotides) under Marmota monax (woodchuck). Lineage: Eukaryota; Metazoa; Chordata; Mammalia; Rodentia; Sciuridae. The record is from RNAcentral.